GGGCCCGCACAAGCGGUGGAGCAUGUGGUUUAAUUCGAUGCAACGCGAAGAACCUUACCAGGACUUGACAUACUACAAAUUCUUUUGAGAAAAAUGAAGAUGCCUUCGGGAAUGUAGAUACAGGUGGUGCAUGGCUGUCGUCAGCUCGUGUCGUGAGAUGUUGGGUUAAGUCCCGCAACGAGCGCAACCCUUAUUUUUAGUUACCAAUUCGUUGGGUUCUCUAGAAAGACUGCCGGUGACAACCGGAGAAGGUGAGGAUGACGUCAAGUCAGCAUGCCCCUUAUGUCCUGGGCUACACACGUGCUACAAUGGUUAAGACAAAGAGUCGCGAGCUCGCAAGAGUCAG
RNAcentral lists this ribosomal RNA (346 nucleotides) under uncultured bacterium. Its description in RNAcentral is "bacterial SSU rRNA". It matches the Rfam family "Bacterial small subunit ribosomal RNA", at positions 917 to 1267 of the family's 1533-position model. The record is from RNAcentral.